CCUACGGUGGGCAGCAGUCGAGAAUCAUUCACAAUGGGGGAAACCCUGAUGGUGCGACGCCGCGUGGGGGAAUGAAGGUCUUCGGAUUGUAAACCCCUGUCAUGUGGGAGCAAAUUAAAAAGAUAGUCCCACCAGAGGAAGAGACGGCUAACUCUGUGCCAGCAGCCGCGGUAAUACAGAGGUCUCAAGCGUUGUUCGGCAUCACUGGGCGUAAAGCGUUCGGAGGCUGUUUCGUAAGUCGUGUGUGAAAGGCGCGGGCUCAACCCGCGGACGGCCGAUGAUACUGCGAGACUAGAGUAAUGGAGGGGGAACCGGAAUGCUCGGUGUAGCAGUGAAAUGCGUAGAUAUCGAGAGGAACACUCGUGGCGAAGGCGGGUUGCUGGACAUUAACUGACGCUGAGGCACGAAGGCCAGGGGAGCGAAAGGGAUUAGAUACCCGUGUAGUC
RNAcentral lists this ribosomal RNA (446 nucleotides) under uncultured bacterium. Its description in RNAcentral is "partial 16S ribosomal RNA". It matches the Rfam family "Bacterial small subunit ribosomal RNA", at positions 338 to 795 of the family's 1533-position model. The record is from RNAcentral.